Molecule: ribosomal RNA, 492 nt
Filed under: uncultured bacterium
Lineage: Bacteria
Description: partial 16S ribosomal RNA
Rfam family: Bacterial small subunit ribosomal RNA
Source: RNAcentral
AGUGAACGCUGCCGGCAGGCCUUACACAUGCAACUCGAACGGCAGCACCGCUCAGGGUUACCGUGAGUGGGGGGUCGUGGAGGACGGGGGCGGAGUGGAGCCGAGUGUGCGGCCUUGGGCGGGUGACUCUCGGGGAAUCCACUCUACUAACCCAUGCCUUACACAGGGGAAAGCAUGGGAUCGUGGGAUCCUGCAGGAAUAUAACAGCCGAUGUCGGAUUAGGGAGUUGGCGGUGUAAAGCCUCACCAAGGCGACGAUCCGUAGCUGGUCUGAGAGGAUGAGCAGCCACACUGGCACUGAGACACGGUCCAGACUCCUACGGGAGGCAGCAGUGGGGAAUCUUGGACAAUGGGCGCAAGCCUGAUCCAGCCAUGCCGCGUGGAGGAUGAAGGCCUUCGGGUUGUAAAGGGAUUUUGUCAGGAAAGAAAAGCAGUAGCUUAAUACGCCCCUGUCCUGACGGUACCCAAAGAAUAAGCACCGGCGAACUCCGUG